Non-coding RNA from Vicia faba (fava bean), 240 nucleotides. Lineage: Eukaryota; Viridiplantae; Streptophyta; Magnoliopsida; Fabales; Fabaceae. The record is from the annotation of a GenBank genome assembly.
AUGCCUGAUGCGAUUAUGAACAUGAUGAGGAUUGGUGGAAUGAUGCAACAUAGCAAAAAAAAGGGUAAACAAGGUUUGGGUCAAUGGCCACACCAUACUUGGACGCAACAAGGAGAUGACUACCAUGGUUUUGAUACAUGUUCUCAUAAUUUUGCUUCAGGCUCACAAGCGAGCAGGUAUGGAUCUGGUAAUGCAUAUGACUCUGAUGUCACUGCUAUGCUUAAUAAUAUGCAACUGUAG